Long non-coding RNA from Sapajus apella (tufted capuchin), 879 nucleotides. RefSeq lists it as uncharacterized. NCBI's taxonomy places the organism in Eukaryota, Metazoa, Chordata, Mammalia, Primates, Cebidae. The transcript has 2 exons. The record is from RefSeq and is a predicted model, not a curated record.
CUGACAUCGCGUUCCGGAGACUAAGCCAGUAGAUUAAUGGAAAAGCAAACAAAAUGUCCACCCGAGGAUGGUUGAGGAAGUCCCGCCCUGGCGUUUUCCACACCAACGGUUCAGCUCCCAAUAUGGACUUAGCAAAUUCUACAAAACCAGACAGAUGAGGUGGAUUAACAAACUAUGGUGUAUACAGACAAUGGAGUACUACUUAGCAGUAUAAAGAAUAAAGCAUUACUACACAAAACAAGGUGAAUCAAGGCUUGAGCAUAAGACUGUGUUUGGACAAUAACAGGACGUAGAGCUGCUUACCUGUUGUGGAGCCGAACUGCUCUUCUGAAAUAUUAGGCUCCUUCCUCCUUGAUGAAAUGGUUAUAUUUUCCCAUCCUAUGGCCUCAUCUCCCUGUCUACUUUUCCUUAUACGGAUAGUUGAGAUGGAAAGUUAGUUUGGGCUCUCUAGAUGAGGUGGCCAGACUUCAAGUGUCUAAGGACCAGAUGGCCAUCUCCAUGGAAGUCUAGAGUUGCUGGGUGGUGACUCAUGCCAUUAAGCUCUAAACUUGGGGAGGGCAGGAGAUGUCAUCAAAAUUUAUUUAGCUGGUUACAGCCCUCAGUCUUCACUCAUUCCCUGCAGCUGCUCAUGUGUUGAGCACCUAUGAUAAGACCCUGAGGUGCAUCUGCUUCUCAUGCCACCUUGGGUAGGUUAGGCUUUCCAAACACUGAGGAAUGUGCUUGCCAGCCCUAAAGGACAUAUGGCCAAAGGCAGAGUCUUGGACUCAAACUCUGAUGUUCUCAUUCCUUAUAAACAUAUAAAUAUUCCUAAAGGUUGGAAAUAAAAAUGGAUUCCAGAAGUUAGAGAGAAAAUAUAUAGACCCAGCAUGUGUUGCUAUU